UACUAGCGGUCCAAGUCGCAGCCAUAUUUAUUGGGUCUAAAACAUCCGUAGCUUGCUUGGUAAGUUUUCUGUGAAAUUCUAUCUCUCAAGGGUAGAGCGUGCAGAAAGUACUGCCAAGCUAGAGACUGGAAGACGUGAGAAGUACGUUCGAAGUAGCGGUUAAAUGUGUUAAUCUCGAACGGACUCACAAUAGCGAAGGCAUCUCACGAGGACAGUUCUGACAGUAAGGGAUGAAGGCUAGGGGCGCAAAACGGAUUAGAUACCCCCGUA
Molecule: ribosomal RNA, 270 nt
Filed under: uncultured prokaryote
Description: partial 16S ribosomal RNA
Rfam family: Archaeal small subunit ribosomal RNA
Source: RNAcentral